This 234-nucleotide non-coding RNA is filed under the name Seinonella peptonophila. Its description in RNAcentral is "T-box sequence". It matches the Rfam family "T-box leader". From Rfam's summary of the family: Uncharged tRNA acts as the effector for transcription antitermination of genes in the T-box leader family. T-boxes are found upstream of many aminoacyl-tRNA synthetase genes and some amino acid biosynthetic genes usually in Gram-positive bacteria. The anticodon of a specific tRNA base pairs to a specifier sequence within the T-box motif, and the NCCA acceptor tail of the tRNA base pairs to a conserved bulge in the T-box antiterminator hairpin. Lineage: Bacteria; Bacillati; Bacillota; Bacilli; Caryophanales; Thermoactinomycetaceae. The record is from RNAcentral.
GAAAGCGCGUUUGAGUGGGAGAGUAGGAAAGUGAAGGGUACAGAGAGGAGCUGGUUGGUGAAAAGCUCUCCUUUUCACUCGGUCUGAAGUGCGCCCACGAGCAGAUGCGCUGAACGGUAUGUUUUUACAUACUUAAUAGGCCAUCCGGUGUCUCCGUUAUCAGACAAAAAGUGGGAUUACUUUUUUAUAAAAUGUCCAAACAGAGUGGAACCGCGGAAUUUUACCGUCUCUGUA